RNAcentral lists this ribosomal RNA (459 nucleotides) under uncultured bacterium. RNAcentral's name for it is "partial 16S ribosomal RNA". It matches the Rfam family "Bacterial small subunit ribosomal RNA", at positions 338 to 795 of the family's 1533-position model. The record is from RNAcentral.
CCUACGGGCGGCAGCAGUGAGGAAUAUUGGUCAAUGGGCGAGAGCCUGAACCAGCCAAGUCGCGUGAGGGAAGACGGUCCUAUGGAUUGUAAACCUCUUUUGUCAAGGGACAAAAUCAGGCUCGAGAGCCUUACCGAGGGUACUUGAAGAAAAAGCAUCGGCUAACUCCGUGCCAGCAGCCGCGGUAAUACGGCGGAUGCGAGCGUUAUCCGGAUUUAUUGGGUUUAAAGGGUGCGUAGGCGGACUGUUACUUCAGCGGUAAAAUCCCGGGGCUCAACCCCGGCGAGCCGUUGAAACUGGCUGUCUUGAGAUGUCGAGAGGUAUGCGGAAUGCGCAGUGUAGCGGUGAAAUGCUUAGAUAUUGCGCAGAACUCCGAGUGCGAAGGCAGCAUACCGGCGGCGAUCUGACGCUGAGGCACGAAAGCGUGGGUAUCGAACAGGAUUAGAUACCCCAGUAGUC